CUUUCUUCUGUGGAUGACUCAUACUGUAAUGCCCGACACGAUUGUCCAGGAACUGCAAGAUUGAAGGCUGUUGUGGUUCAUUUUUGAUGCUUUUGUUCAUUGGGUAUUCUUGAAAUCUGUAAGAGGUGAAUCGAAUCACAUGCCUGCUAUUAACGACACGAUAAUCCAUCUAUUAAAAGGACAGUGUCAGUGAAGUCAGCUUUCUUCCUCUGUUUGAGUACAUAUCUCACUCUACUGUGGGUAGCUCCGCCCCACCGGCCUGCCACAUCCUCAACACUAAGAUGAACUAAAUUACUGAAUAUAAAUAUAGAUGAAUAAAUAAACUCUCA
Molecule: long non-coding RNA, 329 nt
Organism: Acanthopagrus latus (yellowfin seabream)
Lineage: Eukaryota; Metazoa; Chordata; Actinopteri; Spariformes; Sparidae
Exons: 3
Source: RefSeq, a predicted model, not a curated record